GACGAACGCUGGCGGCGUGCUUAACACAUGCAAGUCGAACGGACAGGCCCUGCUUUUGUGGGGUGCUCGAGUGGCGACCGGGUGAGUAACAUGUGAGUAACCUAUCCUUGACUUUGAGAUAACUUCAGGACACUGGGGCUAAUACCGGAUAGGAGCUCCUGCUUCAUGGUGGGGGCUGGUAAGUUUCGGCGGUUGGGUAUGGACUUGCGGCUUAUCAGCUUGUUGGUGGGGUAGUGGCUUGCCAAGGCUUUGACGGGUAGCCGGCCUGAGAGGGUGGACGGCCACAUUGGUACGGAGAGACGGCCCAGACUACGUCGUGAGGCAAGAGUGAGGAAUAUAGCAAGAGGGGCGGAAGCCAGAUGGACGAAGGCCGCGGGCGGGAAGGCUGCAUUUGGGAUGUUAGUAGAUUUCUUUUGUGACGGAGGAUGAUUGACGGUAAUGGGUAAAAAAGCACCGGCUAAUUACGU
RNAcentral lists this ribosomal RNA (467 nucleotides) under uncultured bacterium. RNAcentral describes it as "partial 16S ribosomal RNA". It matches the Rfam family "Bacterial small subunit ribosomal RNA", at positions 28 to 506 of the family's 1533-position model. The record is from RNAcentral.